This 959-nucleotide ribosomal RNA is filed under the name Kiskeyana palassaina. RNAcentral's name for it is "SSU rRNA". It matches the Rfam family "Eukaryotic small subunit ribosomal RNA", at positions 425 to 1293 of the family's 1831-position model. The record is from RNAcentral. Lineage: Eukaryota; Metazoa; Arthropoda; Insecta; Hemiptera; Reduviidae.
GCAGCAGGCACGCAAAUUACCCACUCCCGGCACGGGGAGGUAGUGACAAAAAAUAACGAUACGGGACUCUAUUGAGGCCCCGUAAUCGGAAUGAGUACACUUUAAAUCCUUUAACAAGGAUCCAUUGGAGGGCAAGUCUGGUGCCAGCAGCCGCGGUAAUUCCAGCUCCAAUAGCGUAUAUUAAAGUUGUUGCGGUUAAAAAGCUCGUAGUUGGUUCUGCGUGCCACGCUGUCGGUUCGCCGCCUGUCGGUGUAACUGGCAUGUCGCGGCAUGUCCUGUCGGUGGUGAACGGGGUCCCCGGUGCAACUUUGGCUUUUCAUAAAGUCAGAGCCUGUGCCGUGUGUGUCCCCGUUUGCCGAUCUCUCCUACUCCGGUGCUCUUAAACGAGUGUCGAGGUAGGCCGACACGUUCACUUUGAACAAAUUAGAGUGCUUAAAGCAGGCUGAAAUAUCUGCCUGAAUAGUGGUGCAUGGAAUGAUAAAAUAGGACCUCGGUUCUAUUUUGUUGGUUUUAGGAAUAUGAGGUAAUGAUCAAUGUGGACUGGCGGGGGCAUUCGUAUUGCGACGUUAGAGGUGAAAUUCUUGGAUCGUCGCAAGACGCACUAGAGCGAAAGCAUUUGCCAAGUAUGUCUUAAUUGAUCAAGAACGAAAGUUAGAGGUUCGAAGGCGAUCAGAUACCGCCCUAGUUCUAACCAUAAACGAUGCCAGCCAGCGAUCCGCCGAUGUUCCUUUCAUGACUCGGCGGGGAGCUUCUACCCGGGAAACCAAAGCUUUUGGGUUCCGGGGGAAGUAUGGUUGCAAAGCUGAAACUUAAAGGAAUUGACGGAAGGGCACCACCAGGAGUGGAGCCUGCGGCUUAAUUUGACUCAACACGGGAAACCUCACCAGGCCAGGACAUUGGAAGGAUUGACAGAUUGAUAGCUCUUUCUUGAUUCAGUGGGUAGUGGUGCAUGGCCGUUC